This 118-nucleotide ribosomal RNA is filed under the name Sordariomycetidae sp. RNAcentral's name for it is "partial large subunit ribosomal RNA". Lineage: Eukaryota; Fungi; Ascomycota; Sordariomycetes. The record is from RNAcentral.
UUGUAAUUUGUAGAGGAUGUUUCUGGCGACGUGCCUUCCGAGUUCCCUGGAACGGGACGCCAUAGAGGGUGAGAGCCCCGUACGGUUGGAUGCCUAGCCUCUGUGAAACUCCUUCGAC